RNAcentral lists this ribosomal RNA (253 nucleotides) under uncultured bacterium. Its description in RNAcentral is "partial 16S ribosomal RNA". It matches the Rfam family "Bacterial small subunit ribosomal RNA", at positions 524 to 776 of the family's 1533-position model. The record is from RNAcentral.
UACGAAGGGGGCUAGCGUUGUUCGGAAUUACUGGGCGUAAAGCGUGCGCAGGCGGUUUUGUAAGCCAGAUGUGAAAUCCCCGGGCUUAACCUGGGAAUGGCAUUUGGGACUGCAAGGCUGGAGUUUGGCAGAGGAGACUGGAAUUCCUGGUGUAGCGGUGAAAUGCGUUGAUAUCAGGAGGAACACCCAUGGCGAAGGCAGGUUACUGGGCUUUAUCUGACGCUGAGGCGCGAAAGCGUGGGUAGCAAACAGG